UACGACUACAUAUCAGGCAUAUCAAUAAGCGGAGGAAAAGAAACUAACACGGAUUCCCCUAGUAACGGCGAGUGAAGCGGGAAGAGCUCAAAUUUGAAAUCUUAAAGGGUUUCCCUUUACGAAUUGUAGUUUAAAGAAGUGUUUUCUGUUGGAGUUUCGGUAAAAGUUCUUUGGAAUAGGACAUCAUAGAGGGUGAGAAUCCCGUAUUUGACCGUUACUUUCCAGCUGUGUGAUACACUUUCAAAGAGUCGGAUUGUUUGGGAAUGCAGUCCAAGAUGGGUGGUAAAUUUCAUCUAAAGCUAAAUAUUGGCGAGAGACCGAUAGCGAACAAGUACCGUGAGGGAAAGAUGAAAAGAACUUUGAAAAGAGAGUUAAACAGUACGUGAAAUUGUCAAAAGGGAAGCGUUUGACACCAGUGUUGUUUAGUUGAAAUCAAUUCAAUAGUUUUUGAUUCUGAGUAGUAUUGACUUCAUCAGCUUGCUGCUUUCUUCUCAGAAAUUAUUGAAUGCACUUUUCAGUUAACAAGUCAACAUCAAUUUCUUUUGUUGUAAAAGGGUAAGAGGAAGGUGGCUUGCGCUUCGGCUCAAGUGUUUAUAGCCUUUUAUCUCUGCAAUCGGAGAGAUUGAGGUCUGCAGCGUAGAUCCUUCGGGGUUAGAUACAUUGGUGCUAAGCUAUAGCCUUGUAUAGACAACUUGUUGACUAUGCUCAGUCAUGUAGCUUACUCGCUGAUGCUAUUUUACCUACGCUUAGGAUGUUGAGUAGCGACAUACGCAC
RNAcentral lists this ribosomal RNA (774 nucleotides) under uncultured Neocallimastigales. RNAcentral's name for it is "partial large subunit ribosomal RNA". It matches the Rfam family "Eukaryotic large subunit ribosomal RNA", at positions 24 to 649 of the family's 3401-position model. The record is from RNAcentral. Lineage: Eukaryota; Fungi; Neocallimastigomycota; Neocallimastigomycetes; Neocallimastigales.